This 704-nucleotide small RNA is filed under the name Pan troglodytes (chimpanzee). RNAcentral describes it as "processed transcript". The record is from RNAcentral. Lineage: Eukaryota; Metazoa; Chordata; Mammalia; Primates; Hominidae.
GAGCCGAUUUGUAGUGAGGAGUAUCUGAAGGGGGCGAGGCCGGCCCAUGUGGGGUUGUGUCAUUGGUUUGCAAAGAGAGACCCCGCCUUUGCCCCCCCCCCCAAAAAAAGGAGCGAGGAGUGAGCGAGCGGCGACCCUCACCUCGCCUCCCGCCUCGCUCCUGCGCAGCCAGCGGGCACCGGGAGCUGCGGCCAGCGCCGCUUCUUUCCUUUCCUUUUCUCUCCGUUUUCCUCCUCCUUCCCCGGAGGAGAAAACAAAUAAAGAAGAGCAAAUAGCCGGGAGGCGCUCGGCAUCCAGGACGUUCCCUCCCCCGAUCCAAGUUGGAAUUAGCAUCCUCUCGGGGGUGGCUCGGGAGCGGCCCGGAGGAGCCGGCGGCGGCCCGAGGAGCGAGGGACCGAACCGGGAGCCAUGCCGCGCUGAGGGGGGGCCGCACAGCCGCCGCCACCGCCACCGCCGCCGGGUGGGGUGGGAGGGGCGGGAGACGCCGCCGCCGCCGCCUCCAGGGUGGGCGCCUUUCGCCGUGGACGCCGACCGUCCGGGACGAGGGUUCAUAGUGGCGUCAUGCACGCAGACUCCUGCAAGUUCCCCUAAGUUCUUAGAGGACUGCUUUGCCUUUUGAUCUGAGAGUUGCAAAGUUCCAUAAAGAAUGGCCCUUGUGGAUAAGCACAAAGUCAAGAGACAGCGAUUGGACAGAAUUUGUGAAG